This 1123-nucleotide small RNA is filed under the name Pan troglodytes (chimpanzee). RNAcentral describes it as "processed transcript". Lineage: Eukaryota; Metazoa; Chordata; Mammalia; Primates; Hominidae. The record is from RNAcentral.
CUUGUGUUCUGUCCAGGCUGACAUCUGGUCCCUGGGGAUCACGGCCAUUGAGCUGGCCAAGGGGGAGCCUCCAAACUCUGACCUCCACCCCAUGCGCGUCCUGUUCCUGAUUCCCAAGAACAGCCCACCCACGCUGGAGGGCCAGCACAGCAAGCCCUUCAAGGAGUUCGUGGAGGCCUGCCUCAACAAAGACCCCCGAUUCCGGCCCACGGCCAAGGAGCUCCUGAAGCACAAGUUCAUCACCCGCUACACCAAGAAGACCUCCUUCCUCACGGAGCUCAUCGACCGCUAUAAGCGCUGGAAGUCAGAGGGGCAUGGCGAGGAGUCCAGCUCUGAGGACUCUGACAUUGAUGGCGAGGCGGAGGACGGGGAGCAGGGCCCCAUCUGGACGUUCCCCCCUACCAUCCGGCCGAGUCCACACAGCAAGCUUCACAAGGGGACGGCUCUGCACAGUUCACAGAAGCCUGCGGAGCCCGUCAAGAGGCAGCCGAGGUCCCAGUGCCUGUCCACGCUGGUCCGGCCCGUCUUCGGAGAGGUGCAAACACAGAUGAUCCUUCUAUAGAGAAAACAGAGAAGGUUUAGUCGGGGUCCAUCCCCGGGCAGGUGCCGCCCUGGUUAGUCACGUGACCCUGCAUCAACUUCACCUGCUGAUGGGCAGUCAGCACCGUCCUCAGAAAUGUGAUACAGCCAGGAUCUCUGUGCCCAGGGCGUGGCCAGUGGGCUUGGGCCCAGCUCAAAGAGAAGCACAAGCAGAGCGGCGGGAGCGUGGGUGCGCUGGAGGAGCUGGAGAACGCCUUCAGCCUGGCCGAGGAGUCCUGCCCCGGCAUCUCAGACAAGCUGAUGGUGCACCUGGUGGAGCGAGUGCAGAGGUUUUCACACAACAGAAACCACCUGACAUCCACCCGCUGAAGCGCGCUGCUGUUCAGAUAGGGGACGGAAGGUCGUUUGUUUUUGUUCUGAGCUCCGUAAGAACUGUGCUGACUUGGAAGGUGCCCUGUGCUGUGUCGUGCCUGCAGGGACACGUCGGAUCCCGUGGGCCUCACAUGCCAGGUCACCAGGUCACCGUCUCCUUCCACCCCUGCAGUGUGCUGUUCUGCACGUCAGGGACGCUGUUCUCUAUGCC